This 3269-nucleotide long non-coding RNA is filed under the name Homo sapiens (human). Its description in RNAcentral is "HSALNT0377107". The record is from RNAcentral. Lineage: Eukaryota; Metazoa; Chordata; Mammalia; Primates; Hominidae.
AGAGACAGGGUCUCACUGCAUGCCUGUAGUGCCAGCUACUCAGGAGACUGAGGUGGGAGGAUCUCUUGAGCCCAGGAGGUCGAGGUGGCAGUGGCCCAUGAUUGCAUCACUGUACUCAGUCUGUCUGCACUACCAUUGUGAGCUGUUAACACUCACUGUGAAGGUCUGCAAAGGUCUGCGGCUUCACUCCUGAAGUCAGCAAGACCACAAACCCACCAGAAAGAAGAAAUUCCAGACACAUCUGAACAUCUGAAGGAACAAACUCCGGACACACCAUCUUUAAGAACUGUAACACUCACCACGAGGGUCUGUGGCUUCAUUCUUGAAGUCAGCGAGACCGAGAACCCAUGGGAAGGAACCAAUUCUGGACGCACUGGGUUCACGCCAUUCUCCUGCCUCAGCCUCCAAAGUAGCUGGGACUACAGGUGCCCGCCCACCAUGCCCGGGUAAUUUUUUGUAUUUUUAGUACAGACGGGGUUUCACCGUGUUAGCCAGGAUGGUCUCGAUCUCCUGACCUCGUGAUCCACCCGCCUUGGCUUCCCAAAGUGCUGGGAUUACAGGUGUGAGCCACCGCGCCUGGCCUUUUUUUAAGUCUUAAUAUGGGAUUUCCAUAAAACUUAAUCCGUACUCCACAAUGCAACUUUUUAUAAUCAAUAAAAUUGGCAGGUUUGUUUGCUUCCUAACAAUUUAGAAGGACUUUCAGAAAAUUUGGCUGGUCAAAACCUAUUUUUACAUCUAGCCAAAUGGUUAUCUCUAGAUGAAGGGAUUUGGGUUCAUUUAUAUUUUCUUUUUCUUUUUCUUUUUUUUUUUUGAGAUGGAGUCUUGCUCUGUCACCCAGUCUGGAGUGCAGUGGCGCGAUCUCGGCUCACUGCAGGCUCUGCCUCCUGGGUUCACGCCAUUCUCCUGUCUCAGCCUCCCCAGCAGCUGGGACAACAGGCGCACGCCGCCACGCCCGGCUAAUUUUGUUGUUGUUGUUGUUGUUGUAUUUUUAGUAGAGACGGGGUUUCACCGUGUUAGCCAGGAUGGUCUCAACCUCCUGACCUCGUGAUCUGCCCGCCUCCACCUCCCAAAGUGCUGGGAUUACAGGCGUGAGCCACCAUGCCUGGCCAUUUAUAUUUUCUUUUUUCUUUGCGUUUAAUUCAGCAAUGCACCAGAAGGACUGACGAGACUCACUGGUUGGCCAGGCGUGGUGACUCAUAUCUGAAAUCCCAGUACUUCAGGAAGCCAAGGAGGGUGGAUUCUUUGAGCCCAGAAAUUCGAGACCAGGCUGGGCAACAUGGCAAAACCCUGUCUCUACAAAAAAUUAGGUGUGGUGCCACACACCUGUGGUCCCAGCUACUCGGGAGGCUGAGGUAAUAGGCUCACUAGAACCUGGGAGGUUAAGGCUGCAGUGAGCCAAGAUCCUGCCACUGUACUCCAGCCUGAGUGGCAGAGCAAGACCCUAUCUCAAAAAUAAAUUUUAAAAAAGAACCAAUGGCAGGUUAUAUACUUACUACUAAGAUUUAUUAUAGCAAAGUAUACAUAGCAAAAGCAGCAGGAAAAAGACAUGCAUCAGCAGGGUCCAGAGAGGUUCAACACAGGUUUCCAAUGUCUUUCGUUGUCUGAGGCCACACAGGAGUACUCGCUGUCUCGAGCAGUUAACUACAGGGACAUGUGUGGAAUGUCUUUGCCCAUGAAAGCCUGUCUGAAUCUCAGAGUCCAAGGCUUUUAUGAGGAGCUGGUAAUGUAAGUAUAUCCUGCUAUGCAAUUAGCCAUGGCAAGCAAAACUCAGGACCCUAACAAUGAAACCUCAAUCUUGGUGUUUAUGGAAAGCAACCUGACAAACCAGUAUGGCAUGGUUCGUUGCUCCAGUUGUAUAUAACAAAAUCACCAAUCAAUAACACAAAGAACUCUCUAAGGACUAUAUUCCCAGUGAUUGGCCAAGGGCUAAUCAUGGUUCCCUUGGAGACCUGCAAGGUUAUGCAACCUGACCUACUGUGUUAACUCUUUCCUCAGUCUGUAUUUUCUAAAAUGUCUAUAAUUAACAUAUAUUACUUUUAUAAUCAGAAAAGUAACUAUUAACAUAAAGGCAUCCAAACAUAAUGAUUUUCUUUUUAGUUAUUUAAUGAUGCUGCUUUGUAAGCUCAGUACAUUUUCUUGUAGUCAGCAGAGCUGCUAAGAGUAUAGUCACCCUACUAGACAUUUCAUAGAUGCCCAUCAGAGCCUUUAUAUGCUUUGGGAAAAACCAUAAAAACAGGCAUGAAAGAGCAUAUGAAACCUAGGAGGAACCACAGCAACAUCUAGUUCCACUUCCCCAUCUUAGAGAUGAGGAAAUGGGAAUUCUGAACAGUGAAAGGACUCUCCCCAGGUUCUAAACCUUAGGGUUUUCAAUUAAAAACCUGUCUUGGAAUUGCUGAAAUGUUUGCUCAGUUGCUUCUGAAUGUCUUUACCAUGGAAAAAGCUGGAGCCCUGAAUGAUGAGCUCACCUGGACCAAGCACACAUAGUUUGUCCUCCUUCAGUCUGGAUAGUGACUUCCCUUCCUCCCACUGCCCCAGUGGCCUGACAGGAUCCCAUGUCAAGAGCAUUGCCAAUGCUAUUGGGUCAAUGUUCCAGCUUGGAACCUAACAAGAGGAUAGGUUCAUCUUCACUAAAUUUUCCUUUUCUUUCACCUUCAUUUACUCUCUUGUAAGUUGCAGGGAGGUGCAAAUUCCUUUUAGGUCUCCCAGAACCAGGUCUUAACAGUGGUUAUGACUUCAGGUAGUAAAGUCAAAUGGUCCAGGAUUUGAAUUCUGUUUUUGCAUCUACUUGUAUGAUUUGGCUUAUGUGAUUUGAGUGAGUUACUUGGGGAAGUUAAUAAAAAUAGUAGUACCUUCCUCCUAAGGUUACUGGGAAGAGAAAAGGAAUGUCUUUCAUGUAAUAACUCUCAACUAGCAUAGGGCUUGGCAUAUAGUAAAUGUUCAAAAAUAUUAGCUGUUAUUUUUUAAAUAGAUGCUCCGUUUAUUUUGGAAAAUUCUAUUCUCUGAUUUUUAAGACCAUUUUAUUGAAGUAAUUGACAUGCAGUAUAAACUGAACACGUUUAAAGUAUAGAAUAUCAUGUUUUGACAUGUAUACACCCAUGAAACUAUCACCAUAAUCAAGUUAAUGAACAUAUCCAUAACCCCUAAAAGCUUUCUUUUUUUUUUGAGAUGGGGUCUCGCUCUGUCACCCAGGUUGGAGUGCAGUGGUACGAUCUUGAUGCACUGCAACCUCCACCUGCUGGAUUCAAGUGAUUCUCCUGCCUCAGCCUCCC